Molecule: ribosomal RNA, 497 nt
Filed under: uncultured bacterium
Lineage: Bacteria
Description: partial 16S ribosomal RNA
Rfam family: Bacterial small subunit ribosomal RNA
Source: RNAcentral
GACGAACGCUGGCGGCGUGCCUAAUACAUGCAAGUCGAACGCUGAAGCGAGGAGCUUGCUCUUCUUGCAUGAGUUGCGAACGGGUGAGUAACGCGUAGGUAACCUGCCUUGUAGCGGGGGAUAACUAUUGGAAACGAUAGCUAAUACCGCAUAACAUCGUAUGACACAUGUCAUUUUUUUGAAAGGCGCAAUUGCUCUACUACAUGAUGGACUUGCGUUGUAUUAGGUAGUAGGUGAGGUAAUGGCUCUACUAGGCGACGAUACAUAGCCGGCCUGAGAGGGUGGUCAGCCCACCUGGGAGUGGGACCCGGCCCAGGCUCCCUAGGGGAGGAGCAAUAAGGAAACUUCGGCCAUGGGGGCAAACCUUGCCGGACAACGCCGCGUGAGGGAAGAAGGUUUUCGGGUCGUAAAGCUCUGUUUUAAGGCGAGAACGGGUGUGAGAGUGGAAAGUUCACGCUGUGACGGUAGCUUACCAGAAAGCGACGGCUAACUACGUG